AAUUCCUUUUUCCAGUGAUCUCUGCCUGCGAUCACCCAGCAAUCCACCCUUCCUGAAACAUAGGAUAAUCUGGGUAGUUUGUCUCCUUGUGGCUGAACUUUUGUUCUCUGGCACAUGCAUACCCUCUCCUAUAUGGAUUCCCAUAUCUGGCGUGGACCUUUUUGGUAGGCUAUGAUUGUAUAUCCUCCCCGUGAACACAGAGACAUUGAUCUCCAUAUACAGCAUUUUCCCCUUGUUUUUGGCGUACUUUCACACUGAGACAGGACUCUAUCUACAGAUCUUAUUGACUACAUGUAUUUCUCUGACACAAUGAUCGUCUGUAAUACCCCUUGAAGAAGGAUCACAGAUACCGAAACGGCUGUCGGGUUGGACCAAUUUUUGUCUCAUGUCUGUUUUAUUGCUUUACAAAUAGGAUCUGUAUACCACUUGCAUGUGGUUUUUUAUCCUUGCUAGGACACUGUACGAUGUCCUUACUUAAAUUGUUUAAAUAAAUUUGCUAUAUAUUUUUCUACUCA
Long non-coding RNA from Rana temporaria (common frog), 515 nucleotides. RefSeq lists it as uncharacterized. The record is from RefSeq and is a predicted model, not a curated record. NCBI's taxonomy places the organism in Eukaryota, Metazoa, Chordata, Amphibia, Anura, Ranidae. The transcript has 3 exons.